RNAcentral lists this long non-coding RNA (603 nucleotides) under Sus scrofa (pig). RNAcentral describes it as "lncRNA (ENSSSCG00030046151.1, ENSSSCG00045002178.1)". The record is from RNAcentral. Lineage: Eukaryota; Metazoa; Chordata; Mammalia; Artiodactyla; Suidae.
GGCUUCACCCUUACUAUAGUACUUUAACAUGAGAACUUGAUAUCUGUGGGGUUAAUGCCCCUACAAAUCAGGCUGCAGAGAGUUCCUUCAUGCUCUCUUCCACUUGAGGAGAUGGCUGUCUAUGAACUAUGAAGUGAGACUUCAUCAGACAUGCUUAGCUGUUGGUGUCUGUAUCUUGGACUUCACCGCCCCAAGAACUGUGAGAAAUAAAUUUCUGUUGUUUAUAAGGCUCUCAUUCUCUGGUAUUUUGUUACAGCAGCCUAAACAUACAAGAACGAGUGCUCUCUAUUCAAACACCAUCCUCCCUUCCUGUGCCAUUUUACCAGAAGGGUAGGACCUGGUGAUGAAGCCCAGACCUGAUGGACCAGAAGAAUCUGCAGUGACCUUGCCUACAUCCCCCACUCCCAGGCCUAAGAACUAAAGACAGCCCAUCUAGUAUAUCAGGACAUUAAAGGACCAGUUCUUGCUGUGAAUGAGAUCUGGAUAAAGUGUGUUAUUCCCAAGCAAGGUUUAAAGUCCUGGAUGAAUAUAGCAUCACUGCUGCCUCCGUGAGUCCUGGGCUGUUGCCUUCUCUCCUCACCCUCACCAUCUGUGGCCUGUCUG